AUGUACGCUGCAGUUGGGUGGGGUCAUUGGCUUGGUUCUCUCUCUGGACAGGACUACUGGCUUUGCUGUGUGGUUGGUCAGUGUUGUUACAGGACUCCCAGACAAAAAUCAGCUCAAGAUGGAUAAAAGACUUAAGUAUCAGACCUGAAAGCAUAAAAUUUCUAGAAGACGCUUGAGUCCAGGAGUCGGGAGUCCAGCGUGGGAAACAGAGUGAGACGCCAUCUCUUAAAAAAAAAAAGAAAAAACUCCUACAAGAAAACAUUUUAAAAAAUCUCUAUGACACUGGUCUGGACAAUGAUUUUUUUAGAAAUGACAUCAAAAGCAAAGACAACGUAAUCAAAAAUAAAUAAGUAGGACUACAUCAAACUAAAAGGCUUCUGCACAGCAAACAACAGUGAACAGGCAACCUACACAAUGGAAGACAAAUAUUUUCAAAUCACAUAUCUGAUAGAGGUUAAUAGCCAAAAUACAGGCAUACUUGAGACAUAUCAUGGGUUCCAUUUCAGACCACCACAAUAAAGCAAAUAUCACAAUAAAGUGAGUCAUACAAUGUUUUUGGUUUCCCAGUGAAUGUAAA
Molecule: long non-coding RNA, 577 nt
Filed under: Homo sapiens (human)
Lineage: Eukaryota; Metazoa; Chordata; Mammalia; Primates; Hominidae
Description: HSALNT0147110
Source: RNAcentral